CCUACGGGAGGCUGCAGUGAGGAAUAUUGGUCAAUGGCCGCAGGGCUGAACCAGCCAAGUCGCGUGAGGGAUGACGGUCCUAUGGAUUGUAAACCUCUUUUGUCAUGGAGAAAAGGGCGCCACGGGUGGCGCUUUGCGAGUACCUGAAGAAAAAGCAUCGGCUAACUCCGUGCCAGCAGCCGCGGUAAUACGGAGGAUGCGAGCGUUAUCCGGAUUUAUUGGGUUUAAAGGGUGCGCAGGCGGAACGUAAAGUCAGCGGUAAAAUUUCGGGGCGAAACCCCGGCGUGCAGUUGAAACUGGCGUUCUUGAGUGGGCGAGAAGGAGGCUGAAUGCGAGGGGUAGCGGUGAAAUGCAUAGAUAUGACGCAGAACACCGAUUGCGAAGGCAGCAUACCGGCGCUCAACUGACGCUCAUGAACGAAAGCGUGGGUAUCGAACAGGAUUAGAUACCCGAGUAGUC
Molecule: ribosomal RNA, 459 nt
Filed under: uncultured bacterium
Lineage: Bacteria
Description: partial 16S ribosomal RNA
Rfam family: Bacterial small subunit ribosomal RNA
Source: RNAcentral